CGUCACCUCGCCUUGCCUUGAUUCUUGGGUGUUUCGCCGCCUUUUGUCUUUGCCCCUCCCUCUCUCUCUCUCACACACACACACACAAUGGGUCACUGUCGCAAGCAAGCGAGAGAAAGGAGCAAAGGGAGGUUGGGAAAAAUUAAAGAUGGAGGAGCUGCUGCUGCUGCAGAGGAAGAAUUAAAAAAGGGUGAGCUUACGAGGGAGGAGGAGGAGGAUCAGCAGCAGCUCAACCACACGGUACUUGUCAGCUCACCAAGACUAGUCCGGCUUCCGGACGGACUCUUUGCUUGUUUCUUUCUUCUUCGCG
Molecule: long non-coding RNA, 310 nt
Filed under: Oryza brachyantha (malo sina)
Lineage: Eukaryota; Viridiplantae; Streptophyta; Magnoliopsida; Poales; Poaceae
Description: long non-coding RNA (OBRA_LNC000426)
Source: RNAcentral